Amphimedon queenslandica is the source of this 702-nucleotide long non-coding RNA. RefSeq lists it as uncharacterized. NCBI's taxonomy places the organism in Eukaryota, Metazoa, Porifera, Demospongiae, Haplosclerida, Niphatidae. The transcript is spliced from 4 exons. The record is from RefSeq and is a predicted model, not a curated record.
GGCUUCCGUUUUAUUCACGUGUAAAAAUGUCGGCUCUAGAUAGUGUUGCUUCUUCAAGGAAAAACGCAGGAAGAAAGGGGUUUUGGUACCAAAUGGACUUCCAUUUUACUCUCAAAGAAGACAAGGACCAGUUCUAGUUAGGCUUGAUCGAGUUAAGGGGUCUUUAGGCACUAAAAGAAGGCGCUGGAACUGCUGUCUCAUUUACUCGCCGAUUUAGUUUUAAAAGAGAAUCAUUCUGAGGCUCUAUUACAUGAUACUAGUAGUUCUUCUGCUAUGCUCAAUACUUCAGGUAUGGGUGAUGGGGACGAAGAGCAGGGCCAUUUUGUGCAUAGAUAUAGGAUCGGCUGUUGGGAAACAUACAUUAGUGUUAGUGUGGUAUGGUUGACCGAAGGAUGAUCAGUUACAGACAGAUCGUCAUGUGAUUUGUGCUGAAUUUCGAUUCAAUCCCAGUUUUGAGUCCUGUAAUCGUAACUCAAGUUUAUUAGUUACUACAUAUAGAAGCUCGUACUAGCAUUUUUCUUGUACUGGUAUAUUACCAUCACAGUACUACCAUAUUUUUGUCGGCAUCACUGGGCACAGUUGGGAAGAGGUACACAGAUACAGGAGGCUCCUCACCAUCCCAAUAUCUAUUCAACCCUAUAUACAUAAUGUUUAUAUUUUUAAAAAUUUAGAAUAAUAUUUUUGUAUUUACUUCUUCCAGUA